This 597-nucleotide long non-coding RNA is filed under the name Capsicum annuum. Its description in RNAcentral is "long non-coding RNA (CANN_LNC006201)". The record is from RNAcentral. Lineage: Eukaryota; Viridiplantae; Streptophyta; Magnoliopsida; Solanales; Solanaceae.
ACUACAACAUAUGCUGUUCUCCACACCAACCUGAACAUGUUGACGUUGUAAGCGCCAUAGCAGGGAACUUGUACAGCGUAUUCAGAGGUGAUGAAUUUGCUGUCUGGCCAUCUCUGAUUGCAACGAGCUUCCACGAAUCCGUAUAAAGGUUGGCAGAAGACCUAAGCAGCAACAACAAUACAUUUGGCUUGUUAGAUUAUUAUUAUGUUGUUAUGUAAUUGCAGGAAACAAGUUAAUGAGAGUCAAGGGCAGCCAGGUGCACUAAAGCUCGCACUUUGCUUGAGUCCAGGAAAGGGCCGGACCACAAGGGUCUAUUGUAUAUAUGCAGCCUUACCCUGCAUUUCUGCAAGAAGCUGAUUCCACGGCUUGAACCCGUGACCUCCUGGUCACGUGGCAACAACUUUAAUGAGCGUGUUAGAGAAAUUUCACCUGGUAAGCUCCGAUAAGGUGGAUGGCGAUGCAGACGUUGGCGAAGUCGAUUAGCCAAAAAGGUUCGUAGAAACCAAAACCAGUGAGGAAGUUCCCUGGAGCAUUGUUUCCAAAGGCUGCAUAGCCAAUGGUACCACAUAGUACAUAGAAUAAGGUUGUGGUGGACAC